UGUGCUAGAACUUUGCUACUUUCCAGAGU
This 29-nucleotide non-coding RNA is filed under the name Mus musculus (house mouse). The record is from RNAcentral. Lineage: Eukaryota; Metazoa; Chordata; Mammalia; Rodentia; Muridae.